GGAGAGGUGACCGAGUGGCUGAAGGUGCACGCCUGGAACGCGUGUGUACGAGAGUACCGAGAGUUCGAAUCUCUCCCUCUCCGCCA
RNAcentral lists this transfer RNA (86 nucleotides) under Desulfobulbus sp. Its description in RNAcentral is "tRNA-Ser". It matches the Rfam family "tRNA". Rfam says of the family: Transfer RNA (tRNA) molecules are approximately 80 nucleotides in length. Lineage: Bacteria; Pseudomonadati; Thermodesulfobacteriota; Desulfobulbia; Desulfobulbales; Desulfobulbaceae. The record is from RNAcentral.